CAAUAGCGUAUAUUAAAGUUGUUGCGGUUAAAAAGCUCGUAGUUGGAUUUCUGCCGAGGACGACCGGUCCGCCCUCUGGGUGUGUAUCUGGUUUGGCCUGGGCAUCUUCUUGGAGAACGUAGCUGCACUUGACUGUGUGGUGCGGUGUCCAGGACUUUUACUUUGAGGAAAUUAGAGUGUUUCAAGCAGGCACACGCCUUGAAUACAUUAGCAUGGAAUAAUAAGAUAGGACCUCGGUUCUAUUUUGUUGGUUUCUAGAGCUGAGGUAAUGAUUAAUAGGGAUAGUUGGGGGCAUUCGUAUUCCAUGGCUAGAGGUGAAAUUCUUGGAUUCAUGGAAGACAAACUACUGCGAAAGCAUUUGUCAAAGAUGUUUUCAUUGA
This 380-nucleotide ribosomal RNA is filed under the name uncultured eukaryote. Its description in RNAcentral is "partial 18S ribosomal RNA". It matches the Rfam family "Eukaryotic small subunit ribosomal RNA", at positions 592 to 976 of the family's 1831-position model. The record is from RNAcentral.